RNAcentral lists this ribosomal RNA (482 nucleotides) under uncultured bacterium. Its description in RNAcentral is "partial 16S ribosomal RNA". It matches the Rfam family "Bacterial small subunit ribosomal RNA", at positions 30 to 507 of the family's 1533-position model. The record is from RNAcentral.
AUUGAACACUGGCGGCAUGCCUUACACAUGCAAGUCGAACGGUAACGGGCCUUCGGGUGCCGACGAGUGGCGAACGGGUGAGUAAUACAUCGGAACGUGCCCGAUCGUGGGGGAUAACGAGGCGAAAGCUUUGCUAAUACCGCAUACGAUCUACGGAUGAAAGCAGGGGACCGCAAGGCCUUGCGCGGACGGAGCGGCCGAUGGCAGAUUAGGUAGUUGGUGGGAUAAAAGCUUACCAAGCCGACGAUCUGUAGCUGGUCUGAGAGGAUGAUCAGCCACACUGGGACUGAGACACGGCCCAGACUCCUACGGGAGGCAGCAGUGGGGAAUUUUGGACAAUGGGCGCAAGCCUGAUCCAGCCAUGCCGCGUGCAGGAUGAAGGCCUUCGGGUUGUAAACUGCUUUUGUACGGAACGAAAAGCCUUCUUUUAAUACAGGAGGGUCAUGACGGUACCGGAAGAAUAAGCACCGGCUAACUACGUG